GAUGAACGCUGGCGGCGUGCCUAAUACAUGCAAGUCGAGCGAACGGACGAGAAGCUUGCUUCUCUGAUGUUAGCGGCGGACGGGUGAGUAACACGUGGAUAACCGACCUAUAAGACUGGGAUAACUUCGGGAAACCGGAGCUAAUACCGGAUAAUAUUUUGAACCGCAUGGUUCAAAAGUGAAAGACGGUCUUGCUGUCACUUAUAGAUGGAUCCGCGCUGCAUUAGCUAGUUGGUAAGGUAACGGCUUACCAAGGCAACGAUGCAUAGCCGACCUGAGAGGGUGAUCGGCCACCCUGGAACUGAGACCCGGUCCAGACUCCUACGGGAGGCAGCAGUAGGGAAUCUUCCGCAAUGGGCGAAAGCCUGACGGAGCAACGCCGCGUGGGUGAUGAAGGUCUUCGGAUCGUAAAACUCUGUUAUUAGGGAAGAACAUAUGUGUAAGUAACUGUGCACAUCUUGACGGUACCUAAUCAGAAAGCCACGGCUAACUACGUG
Molecule: ribosomal RNA, 497 nt
Filed under: uncultured bacterium
Lineage: Bacteria
Description: partial 16S ribosomal RNA
Rfam family: Bacterial small subunit ribosomal RNA
Source: RNAcentral